Molecule: ribosomal RNA, 495 nt
Filed under: uncultured bacterium
Lineage: Bacteria
Description: partial 16S ribosomal RNA
Rfam family: Bacterial small subunit ribosomal RNA
Source: RNAcentral
GACGAACGCUGGCGGCGUGCCUAAUACAUGCAAGUCGAACGCUGAAGGAGGAGCUUGCUCUUCUGGAUGAGUUGCGAACGGGUGAGUAACGCGUAGGUAACCUGCCUGGUAGCGGGGGAUAACUAUUGGAAACGAUAGCUAAUACCGCAUAAGAGUAGAUGUUGCAUGACAUUUACUUAAAAGGUGCAAUUGCAUCACUACCAGAUGGACCUGCGUUGUAUUAGCUAGUUGGUGGGGUAACGGCUUACCAAGGCGACGAUACAUAGCCGACCUGAGAGGGUGAUCGGCCACACUGGGACUGAGACACGGCCCAGACUCCUACGGGAGGCAGCAGUAGGGAAUCGUCGGCAAUGGACGGAAGUCUGACCGAGCAACGCCGCGUGAGUGAAGAAGGUUUUCGGAUCGUAAAGCUCUGUUGUAAGAGAAGAACGAGUGUGAGAGUGGAAAGUUCACACUGUGACGGUAUCUUACCAGAAAGGGACGGCUAACUACGUG